GAUGAACGCUGGCGGCGUGCCUAAUACAUGCAAGUCGAGCGAACGGACGAGAAGCUUGCUUUUCUGAUGUUAGCGGCGGACGGGUGAGUAACACGUGGAUAACCUACCUAUAAGACUGGGAUAACUUCGGGAAACCGGAGCUAAUACCGGAUAAUAUUUUGAACCGCAUGGUUCAAAAGUGAAAGACGGUCUUGCUGUCACUUAUAGAUGGAUCCGCGCUGCAUUAGCUAGUUGGUAAGGUAACGGCUUACCAAGGCAACGAUGCAUAGCCGACCUGAGAGGGUGAUCGGCCACACUGGGACUGGGACACGGUCCAGACUCCUACGGGAGGCAGCAGUAGGGAAUCUUCCGCAAUGGGCGAAAGCCUGACGGAGCAACGCCGCGUGAGUGAUGAAGGUCUUCGGAUCGUAAAACUCUGUUAUUAGGGAAGAACAUAUGUGUAAGUAACUGUGCACAUCUUGACGGUACCUAAUCAGAAAGCCACGGCUAACUACGUG
Molecule: ribosomal RNA, 497 nt
Filed under: uncultured bacterium
Lineage: Bacteria
Description: partial 16S ribosomal RNA
Rfam family: Bacterial small subunit ribosomal RNA
Source: RNAcentral